UACGAAGGGGGCUAGCGUUGUUCGGAAUCACUGGGCGUAAAGGGCGCGUAGGCGGCUUUAUAAGUCGGGGGUGAAAGCCUGUGGCUCAACCACAGAAUUGCCUUCGAUACUGUAGAGCUUGAGACCGGAAGAGGUAAGUGGAACUGCGAGUGUAGAGGUGAAAUUCGUAGAUAUCAGGUGGAACACCGGUGGCGAAGGCGGUGGUCUGGGCCGGAACUGACGCUGUAGAGCGAAAGCGUGGGGAGCGAACAGG
RNAcentral lists this ribosomal RNA (253 nucleotides) under uncultured bacterium. Its description in RNAcentral is "partial 16S ribosomal RNA". It matches the Rfam family "Bacterial small subunit ribosomal RNA", at positions 524 to 776 of the family's 1533-position model. The record is from RNAcentral.